UGAGGAAUAUUGGUCAAUGGGCGAGAGCCUGAACCAGCCAAGUCGCGUGAAGGAAGAAGGAUCUAUGGUUCGUAAACUUCUUUUUUAGGGGAAUAAAGUGCGGUGCGUGUACCGUUUUGUAUGUACCCUACGAAUAAGGAUCGGCUAACUCCGUGCCAGCAGCCGCGGUAAUACGGAGGAUCCAAGCGUUAUCCGGAUUUAUUGGGUUUAAAGGGUGCGUAGGCGGGCCCUUAAGUCAGUGGUGAAAGUUUGCAGCUUAACUGUAAAAUUGCCAUUGAAACUGAGGGUCUUGAGUGUAAAUAAGGUAGGCGGAAUGUGUUGUGUAGCGGUGAAAUCCGUAGAUAUUCGGAGGAACACCGGUGGCGAAGGCGGCUUCCUGGACCGAUACUGACGCUGAGACGCGAAAGCGUGGGGAGCAAACA
Molecule: ribosomal RNA, 422 nt
Filed under: uncultured prokaryote
Description: bacterial SSU rRNA
Rfam family: Bacterial small subunit ribosomal RNA
Source: RNAcentral